This 778-nucleotide ribosomal RNA is filed under the name uncultured Neocallimastigales. RNAcentral describes it as "partial large subunit ribosomal RNA". It matches the Rfam family "Eukaryotic large subunit ribosomal RNA", at positions 23 to 644 of the family's 3401-position model. Lineage: Eukaryota; Fungi; Neocallimastigomycota; Neocallimastigomycetes; Neocallimastigales. The record is from RNAcentral.
GAGAGAGACAUGCGCGCAUAUCAAUAAGCGGAGGAAAAGAAACUAACAAGGAUUCCCUUAGUAACGGCGAGUGAAGCGGGAAGAGCUCAAAUUUGAAAUCUUCAAGGUUCUACCUUGACGAAUUGUAGUUUAUAGAAGUGUUUUCUGUUAAGUAGAGUGGCAAAAGUUCUUUGGAAUAGGGACAUCAUAGAGGGUGAGAAUCCCGUAUUUGGUCAUUCCUCCUAGCUUUGUGAUACACUUUCAACGAGUCGGAUUGUUUGGGAAUGCAGUCCAAAAUGGGUGGUAAAUUUCAUCUAAAGCUAAAUAUUGGCGAGAGACCGAUAGCGAACAAGUACCGUGAGGGAAAGAUGAAAAGAACUUUGAAAAGAGAGUUAAACAGUACGUGAAAUUGUCAAAAGGGAAGCGUUUGACACCAGUGUUGUUUUUCCGAAAAUCAAUUACGAAUGUUUUAUUUUUGAGGAGUUAUGACUUCAUCGGCUUGCUCCUUUCUUUACUGAAACUUUCUUAAUGCACCUUUUCGGUUAACAAGUCAACAUCAAUUUCUUUUGUUGUAAAAGGGUAAGAGGAAGGUGGCUUUCUUUUCGGAGAAAGUGUUUAUAGCCUCGUGCCUCUGCAAUCGGAGAGAUUGAGGUCUGCAGCGUAGAUCCUUCGGGGUUAGAUACAGUUUGUGCUAAGUUAUAGCUUUUCAUAGACAACUUGUUGACUAUGUUUAGUCUUGUAGCUUACUCGCUGAUGCUAUUUUACCUACGCUUAGGAUGUUGAUAGUCACAGCGUGUAC